CCUACGGGAGGCAGCAGUAGGGAAUAUUGGUCAAUGGGCGAGAGCCUGAACCAGCCAUGCCGCGUGCAGGAAGACGGCCUUCUGGGUUGUAAACUGCUUUUCUACAGGAAGAAAAAGGCUAUGCGUAGCCAAUUGCCGGUACUGUAGGAAUAAGCACCGGCUAACUCCGUGCCAGCAGCCGCGGUAAUACGGAGGGUGCAAGCGUUGUCCGGAUUUAUUGGGUUUAAAGGGUGCGUAGGCGGGUCUUUAAGUCAGUGGUGAAAGCCCAUAGCUCAACUAUGGAACUGCCAUUGAUACUGGGGACCUUGAAUUCAGUUGAGGUAGGCGGAAUUGAUGGUGUAGCGGUGAAAUGCAUAGAUACCAUCAGGAACACCGAUUGCGAAGGCAGCUUACUGGACUUGAAUUGACGCUGAGGCACGAAAGCGUGGGGAGCGAACAGG
Molecule: ribosomal RNA, 440 nt
Filed under: uncultured bacterium
Lineage: Bacteria
Description: bacterial SSU rRNA
Rfam family: Bacterial small subunit ribosomal RNA
Source: RNAcentral